This 1540-nucleotide ribosomal RNA is filed under the name Salmonella enterica. RNAcentral's name for it is "bacterial SSU rRNA". It matches the Rfam family "Bacterial small subunit ribosomal RNA". Lineage: Bacteria; Pseudomonadati; Pseudomonadota; Gammaproteobacteria; Enterobacterales; Enterobacteriaceae. The record is from RNAcentral.
GAUCAUGGCUCAGAUUGAACGCUGGCGGCAGGCCUAACACAUGCAAGUCGAACGGUAACAGGAAGCAGCUUGCUGCUUUGCUGACGAGUGGCGGACGGGUGAGUAAUGUCUGGGAAACUGCCUGAUGGAGGGGGAUAACUACUGGAAACGGUGGCUAAUACCGCAUAACGUCGCAAGACCAAAGAGGGGGACCUUCGGGCCUCUUGCCAUCAGAUGUGCCCAGAUGGGAUUAGCUUGUUGGUGAGGUAACGGCUCACCAAGGCGACGAUCCCUAGCUGGUCUGAGAGGAUGACCAGCCACACUGGAACUGAGACACGGUCCAGACUCCUACGGGAGGCAGCAGUGGGGAAUAUUGCACAAUGGGCGCAAGCCUGAUGCAGCCAUGCCGCGUGUAUGAAGAAGGCCUUCGGGUUGUAAAGUACUUUCAGCGGGGAGGAAGGUGUUGUGGUUAAUAACCGCAGCAAUUGACGUUACCCGCAGAAGAAGCACCGGCUAACUCCGUGCCAGCAGCCGCGGUAAUACGGAGGGUGCAAGCGUUAAUCGGAAUUACUGGGCGUAAAGCGCACGCAGGCGGUCUGUCAAGUCGGAUGUGAAAUCCCCGGGCUCAACCUGGGAACUGCAUUCGAAACUGGCAGGCUUGAGUCUUGUAGAGGGGGGUAGAAUUCCAGGUGUAGCGGUGAAAUGCGUAGAGAUCUGGAGGAAUACCGGUGGCGAAGGCGGCCCCCUGGACAAAGACUGACGCUCAGGUGCGAAAGCGUGGGGAGCAAACAGGAUUAGAUACCCUGGUAGUCCACGCCGUAAACGAUGUCUACUUGGAGGUUGUGCCCUUGAGGCGUGGCUUCCGGAGCUAACGCGUUAAGUAGACCGCCUGGGGAGUACGGCCGCAAGGUUAAAACUCAAAUGAAUUGACGGGGGCCCGCACAAGCGGUGGAGCAUGUGGUUUAAUUCGAUGCAACGCGAAGAACCUUACCUGGUCUUGACAUCCACAGAACUUUCCAGAGAUGGACUGGUGCCUUCGGGAACUGUGAGACAGGUGCUGCAUGGCUGUCGUCAGCUCGUGUUGUGAAAUGUUGGGUUAAGUCCCGCAACGAGCGCAACCCUUAUCCUUUGUUGCCAGCGAUUAGGUCGGGAACUCAAAGGAGACUGCCAGUGAUAAACUGGAGGAAGGUGGGGAUGACGUCAAGUCAUCAUGGCCCUUACGACCAGGGCUACACACGUGCUACAAUGGCGCAUACAAAGAGAAGCGACCUCGCGAGAGCAAGCGGACCUCAUAAAGUGCGUCGUAGUCCGGAUUGGAGUCUGCAACUCGACUCCAUGAAGUCGGAAUCGCUAGUAAUCGUGGAUCAGAAUGCCACGGUGAAUACGUUCCCGGGCCUUGUACACACCGCCCGUCACACCAUGGGAGUGGGUUGCAAAAGAAGUAGGUAGCUUAACCUUCGGGAGGGCGCUUACCACUUUGUGAUUCAUGACUGGGGUGAAGUCGUAACAAGGUAACCGUAGGGGAACCUGCGGUUGGAUCACCUCCUUACCUUAAAGAAGC